GUUUCAAUCCCUCGUAGGUACGAUAAAAAC
Non-coding RNA from Geobacillus sp. B4113_201601, 30 nucleotides. Lineage: Bacteria; Bacillati; Bacillota; Bacilli; Caryophanales; Anoxybacillaceae. The record is from Rfam.